RNAcentral lists this ribosomal RNA (253 nucleotides) under uncultured bacterium. Its description in RNAcentral is "partial 16S ribosomal RNA". It matches the Rfam family "Bacterial small subunit ribosomal RNA", at positions 524 to 776 of the family's 1533-position model. The record is from RNAcentral.
UACGGAGGGUGCAAGCGUUGUCCGGAUUUAUUGGGUUUAAAGGGUGCGUAGGCGGUCUUUUAAGUCAGUGGUGAAAGCCAACAGCUCAACUGUUGAACUGCCAUUGAUACUGGAAGACUUGAGUACAGACGAGGUAGGCGGAAUUUAUGGUGUAGCGGUGAAAUGCAUAGAUACCAUAAAGAACACCGAUUGCGAAGGCAGCUUACUAGGCUGUAACUGACGCUGAGGCACGAAAGCGUGGGGAUCAAACAGG